Molecule: transfer RNA, 75 nt
Filed under: Methanonatronarchaeia archaeon
Lineage: Archaea; Methanobacteriati; Methanobacteriota; Methanonatronarchaeia
Also listed under: 1 other name
Description: tRNA-Arg
Rfam family: tRNA
About the family: Transfer RNA (tRNA) molecules are approximately 80 nucleotides in length. Their secondary structure includes four short double-helical elements and three loops (D, anti-codon, and T loops). Further hydrogen bonds mediate the characteristic L-shaped molecular structure. tRNAs have two regions of fundamental functional importance: the anti-codon, which is responsible for specific mRNA codon recognition, and the 3' end, to which the tRNAs corresponding amino acid is attached (by aminoacyl-tRNA synthetases). tRNAs cope with the degeneracy of the genetic code in two manners: having more than one tRNA (with a specific anti-codon) for a particular amino acid; and 'wobble' base-pairing, i.e. permitting non-standard base-pairing at the 3rd anti-codon position.
Source: RNAcentral
GGGCGUGUGGCCUAGCUGGACUAAGGCGGCAGCCUCCUAAGCUGCAAACCGCGGGUUCAAAUCCCGCCACGUCCG